RNAcentral lists this ribosomal RNA (448 nucleotides) under uncultured Planctomycetota bacterium. Its description in RNAcentral is "bacterial SSU rRNA". It matches the Rfam family "Bacterial small subunit ribosomal RNA", at positions 217 to 656 of the family's 1533-position model. Lineage: Bacteria; Pseudomonadati; Planctomycetota. The record is from RNAcentral.
GCUUAGAGAGGGGUCAAUGUCCUAUCAGCUAGUUGGUAAGGUAAUGGCUUACCAAGGCUAAGACGGGUAGCCGGCCUGAGAGGGUGGUCGGCCACACUGGGACUGAGACACUGCCCAGACUCCUACGGGAGGCUGCAGUCGAGAAUCUUUCGCAAUGCCCGAAAGGGUGACGAAGCGACGCCGCGUGUGGGAAGAAGGCCUUCGGGUUGUAAACCACUGUCGGGAGUUAAGAAAUGUAAGGGUGUUAAUAGCAUCCUUACUUGACUAAGGCUCCGGAGGAAGCCACGGCUAACUCUGUGCCAGCAGCCGCGGUAAUACAGAGGCGGCAAGCGUUGUUCGGAAUUAUUGGGCGUAAAGAGCACGUAGGCGGCUUUGUAAGUCAGUUGUGAAAGCCUUCCGCUUAACGGAAGAACAGCAUCUGAUACUGCGAGGCUAGAGUGCGGAAGGG